This 672-nucleotide ribosomal RNA is filed under the name Stenoxybacter acetivorans. Its description in RNAcentral is "bacterial SSU rRNA". It matches the Rfam family "Bacterial small subunit ribosomal RNA", at positions 59 to 718 of the family's 1533-position model. Lineage: Bacteria; Pseudomonadati; Pseudomonadota; Betaproteobacteria; Neisseriales; Neisseriaceae. The record is from RNAcentral.
AAGUCGAACGGCAGCGGGGAAGUGCUUGCACUUCUGCCGGCGAGUGGCGAACGGGUGAGUAAUAUAUCGGAACGUACCGAAUAGUGGGGGAUAACUGUCCGAAAGGAUGGCUAAUACCGCAUACGUCUUGAGAGAGAAAGUGGGGGCUUCGCAAGGACCUCACGCUAUUUGAGCGGCCGAUAACUGAUUAGCUGGUUGGUGGGGUAAGAGCCCACCAAGGCGACGAUCAGUAGCGGGUCUGAGAGGAUGAUCCGCCACAUUGGGACUGAGACACGGCCCAAACUCCUACGGGAGGCAGCAGUGGGGAAUUUUGGACAAUGGGGGCAACCCUGAUCCAGCCAUGCCGCGUGUAUGAAGAAGGCCUUCGGGUUGUAAAGUACUUUUGUCGGGGAAGAAAAGGUUAGUGUUAAUACCACUGACUGAUGACGGUACCCGAAGAAUAAGCACCGGCUAACUACGUGCCAGCAGCCGCGGUAAUACGUAGGGUGCAAGCGUUAAUCGGAAUUACUGGGCGUAAAGCGGGCGCAGACGGUUACAUAAGUCAGGUGUGAAAUCCCCGAGCUCAACUUGGGAAUGGCGCUUGAAACUGUGUAGCUAGAGUGUGUCAGAGGGAGGUAGAAUUCCGCGUGUAGCAGUGAAAUGCGUAGAGAUGCGGAGGAAUACCGAUGGCGA